Long non-coding RNA from Ananas comosus (pineapple), 643 nucleotides. RefSeq lists it as uncharacterized. NCBI's taxonomy places the organism in Eukaryota, Viridiplantae, Streptophyta, Magnoliopsida, Poales, Bromeliaceae. The transcript has 2 exons. The record is from RefSeq and is a predicted model, not a curated record.
AUCCUCUCUCUCCCCCUCUCUCUCUGAUGUCGAAAACGAAAAGGAAAAAGAAAAAGAGAAAGAAGGAAGAGAAGUAGGGGAAGUGGAAGAAGAAGAAGAAAUUGGGGGUGUCUAGGAGCGUGAAUUAGAACGCGAUACUUAUCCGGCUAGUUGCUAUUCACGAGUUUUCGAGCAAUCGUGAGGUGAGGAAGGGUCAUGUGUAGCGCUUCUCUUGCCAGGACGACAUAGCGAGUUGACGUGGGUUCCGAGUCGCCGAAAACGGAUUUCUUUGGACAUUUGCUAGUGAGGUGAGACAUGUGUGAUUCACUCUUUUAGACAGUUGGUGUUGAGCUGAUCAUAGUAGUAGCAGUUUCUUGUAAUUAUGAUUAUAGUCUGCAGAUGCCAUCUUGAGUUGAUGUAUGUAUGUGAUAUGAUACUCGGUAGGGGUCGCUCCCCACGAGUGCCGCUCCGGAUGCUGGCCAGUGAUAGUAAGAUAGUAGCCUAGGGGUCGCCGUCACACCUGCGGGAGUGUGUCCGCGCACUAGGCAGGCGUAGGCUUGACCGGACCUAUGAGUCGGUCAUGACGAUUGGGUUUUAUGGCUGUUGUUCUCUAUUCUUAUAUAUUAAAAUGAAUCUAUAAAUAUAUAUAUUUUAAUUAUAUAAA